This 547-nucleotide ribosomal RNA is filed under the name uncultured bacterium. RNAcentral describes it as "bacterial SSU rRNA". It matches the Rfam family "Bacterial small subunit ribosomal RNA", at positions 355 to 896 of the family's 1533-position model. The record is from RNAcentral.
UGGGGAAUAUUGCGCAAUGGGGGGAACCCUGACGCAGCCAUGCCGCGUGAAUGAAGAAGGCCUUAGGGUUGUAAAGUUCUUUCGGUAUUGAGGAAGGUUGAUGUGUUAAUAGCACAUCAAAUUGACGUUAAAUACAGAAGAAGCACCGGCUAACUCCGUGCCAGCAGCCGCGGUAAUACGGGGGGUGCGAGCGUUAAUCGGAAUAACUGGGCGUAAAGGGCACGCAGGCGGUUAUUUAAGUGAGGUGUGAAAGCCCCGGGCUUAACCUGGGAAUUGCAUUUCAGACUGGGUAACUAGAGUACUUUAGGGAGGGGUAGAAUUCCACGUGUAGCGGUGAAAUGCGUAGAGAUGUGGAGGAAUACCGAAGGCGAAGGCAGCCCCUUGGGAAUGUACUGACGCUCAUGUGCGAAAGCGUGGGGGGCAAACAGGAUUAGAUACCCUGGUAGUCCACGCUGUAAACGCUGUCGAUUUGGGGGUUGGGGUUUAACUCUGGCGCCCGUAGCUAACGUGAUAAAUCGACCGCCUGGGGAGUACGGCCGCAAGGUUA